CUUGUUUUCUUUCCGAGUUCCCAGUUGUUUUGAAAGCACCAUAAAUCCAGAGAAUGUCAGUCUUUGAUGACAUAAUUUGGCCUGGCAGGACCGCUGCGCCACCUUCCUGUUCAAGUGAGCACAGCACAACAAGCUUCUACAGGUUGCUGAACUCCAGGGACUUCGACUCUCUGGGAGACAUUCGUGGCCAACGGACAGAGCCUGGACGGGAAUGUCAUUGACAUACUUGCUGCCGUUCAGUCGUGCUCUUUAUCUCGGAUACCAGGAUUGGUUUUGACAGCUUCCGGAACUGCAUGACAGCUACAGUCAAUUCUAAAGCCAUAAUCACUGUCAACCCGGGUAAGGAUAUCACUUCAUCUGGACUGAUCAUAUCUGUUUACAACAAGUGCCUUUUCUGCAUUGAGAAACAGCAGAUAAUUGUUUUUUUAAGAGCAUAUUUUAAUGUUCACAUUAUUAAUUUAAUACAGUACCUAAUACUGUAAUUAAUGUGAUUAUGUUUGAGAUACAUAAGAUACGAAGGAAGCCAGCCUUCUGUUCAGCUAUGCCAACGAGGUCUCUGAAUCUUUUGGAUGAGGAUGACAGGUCUGGAGAUGUGCCUGGUAUGUAACAACUAUGACUGUAUUAGUAUUAUCCUACAUUUGAGACUUUGCAAUCAUGAUUUUAUUUAUUUAUAUUUAUUUAUAUGAUUUCAUUACAUGCGCCGAAUACAACAGGUGUAGAAUUCACUGUGAAAUGCUUACUUAGGAGUCCUUUCGCAACAAUGCAGAGUAAAAAAACUAAGGAAAUAAGAUAAAAAAUGUAGCGGAAAUAGUAACACAUUAAAAUAACAAUAAUGAGACUAUAUACAGGAGUCAGUACCAAGUCAAUGUUCAGGGGUACAAGGUAAUUGAGGUAAUUGAGGUAAUAUGUACAUCUAGGCAGGGUUGGGUAGGUUACUUUCUAAGUGUAUUCUGUCCUAAUUGUCCCUAGAAUUUCUAAGCAAACAGCUGGAGGCAUGGCUUUCUCCUAUAGAGCUCCAUUUUUAUGGAACGGUCUGCCUACCCAUGUCAGAGACGCAAACUCGGUCUCAACCUUUAAGUCUUUACUGAAGACUUAUCUCUUCAGUGGGUCAUAUGAUUGAGUGUAGUCUCUGGAGGCUCUGGAGCAACGAACCGCCCUUGCUGUCUCUGCCUGGCCGGUUCCCCUCUUUCCACUGGGAUUCUCUGCCUCUAACCCUAUUACAGGGGCUGAGUCACUGGCUUACUGGGGCUCUCUCAUGCCGUCCCUGGAAGGGGUGCGUCACCUGAGUGGGUUGAUUCACUGAUGUGGUCAUCCUGUCUGGGUUGGCGCCCCCCCUUGGGUUGUGCCAUGGCGGAGAUCUUUGUGGGCUAUACUCAGCCUUGUCUCAGGAUGGUAAGUUGGUGGUUGAAGAUAUCCCUCUAGUGGUGUGGGGGCUGUGCUUUGGAAAAGUGGGUGGGUUUAUAUCCUUCCUGUUUGGCCCUGUCCGGGGGUGUUCUCGGAUGGGGCCACAGUGUCUCCUGACCCCUCCUGUCUCAGCCUCCAGUAUUUAUGCUGCAGUAGUUUGUGUCAGGGGGCUAGGGUCAGUUUGUUAUAUCUGGAGUUCUUCUCCUGUCCUAUUCGGUGUCCUGUGUGAAUCUAAGUGUGCGUUCUCUAAUUCUCUCCUUCUCUCUUUCUUUCUCUCUCUCGGAGGACCUGAGCCCUAGGACCAUGCCCCAGGACUACCUGACAUGAUGACUCCUUGCUGUCCACAGUCCACCUGGCCGUGCUGCUGCUCCAGUUUCAACUGUUCUGCCUUAUUAUUAUUCGACCAUGCUGGUCAUUUAUGAACAUUUGAACAUCUUGGCCAUGUUCUGUUAUAAUCUCCACCCGGCACAGCCAGAAGAGGACUGGCCACCCCACAUAUGCUCUCUCUAAUUCUCUCUUUCUUUCUCUCUCUCGGAAGACCUGAGCUCUAGGACCAUGCCCCAGGACUACCUGACAUGAUGACUCCUUGCUGUCCCCAGUCCAUCUGACUGUGCUGCUGCUCCAGUUUCAACUGUUCUGCCUUAUUAUUAUACGACCAUGCUGGUCAUUUAUGAACAUUUGAACAUCUUGGCCAUGUUCUGUUAUAAUCUCCACCCGGCACAGCCAGAAGAGGACUGGCC
Molecule: long non-coding RNA, 2144 nt
Organism: Oncorhynchus tshawytscha (Chinook salmon)
Lineage: Eukaryota; Metazoa; Chordata; Actinopteri; Salmoniformes; Salmonidae
Source: Ensembl